RNAcentral lists this non-coding RNA (171 nucleotides) under Gammaproteobacteria bacterium. RNAcentral describes it as "6S RNA". It matches the Rfam family "6S / SsrS RNA". From Rfam's summary of the family: E. coli 6S RNA was the first non coding RNA to be sequenced, but its function was unknown until recently. It consists of 184 nucleotides that fold into an extended hairpin structure with a large single-stranded internal bulge. Lineage: Bacteria; Pseudomonadati; Pseudomonadota; Gammaproteobacteria. The record is from RNAcentral.
UGUUUCCUGGGUUAUUCGAUAUACAAAAUAAACCUCGAGCCGAUAAUUAAAAUCAAGGGACUUGAUACCUUGCUUGUUGAGCGCCCCUAGGGCAGCCUGAUAGCGGGUGAUUUUCCCGCCCUGAACUUGACGGUUCAGGUCUAGUUUUGUUAACGGUAAUCUGGGAAACUU